Molecule: ribosomal RNA, 135 nt
Filed under: Dipodomys ordii (Ord's kangaroo rat)
Lineage: Eukaryota; Metazoa; Chordata; Mammalia; Rodentia; Heteromyidae
Source: RNAcentral
AGUGAAGAUCAGACUGCCCUUAAACCACCUGACCCCAUGUGAUCUGAGCAGUAAGCAGGGUCAGGCCUGAUGAGUACUUAGUACUUAAUCCCUGGAUGGAAGAAGAAGUCUGUGAAGGGCGAAGCACGUCCAUAA